Molecule: long non-coding RNA, 742 nt
Filed under: Mytilus galloprovincialis (Mediterranean mussel)
Lineage: Eukaryota; Metazoa; Mollusca; Bivalvia; Mytilida; Mytilidae
Source: RNAcentral
UCUAUGGGCUGAUAACAAAAUAACGUCAGCCAAUCAGAAGACGCGUUACAUCCACAAUUAAAUUAUUCUCAGGUUAAUUUAAAAAAAAUUAAUAAACAUCAGAUUCAGAACGUCAUGUAACAAGGAAUCAAAGCAGAACUCUUUUGCCUUUGUGGUAUAAAUCAUACAACUCUUUAAUAACAAAAUAUGGCUAUACAUAUAACCAAGUACUUUGUUUUUCAAAUUGUUCUUUCCCUUCUAUGUUUGUCUUGGGUUCUUUAGUUAUCUGGUAUUCGAUUAUUCCAUAUUCAUAACUCAGCUAUCAUUUGAAAACACUUGUACAAGUUUUCAUAGAUAUUGUGUAAAGUGAAAAUGAAAACUGACAACUGCUUGUAUUUCUGUUAAAAAUAAGCUACUUUUACGCCUCAAAUUUUCGAAAAUGCGAGAAAGCAAUGGAAUGACAGCUGGAACUUUAUUGUAUUAUUUAUACGCAUACUCCAUGGAAAUGAACCAACUAAUUGCGUCGUCCAUAAUGUACAGCAUACUCCUUCUCAAGCAGACCCACUUAGCAGUACUUUUUGUUUCAGGUUCGUAUACUAUGCUAAAAACUAGAAGCAAAAUUUAUCUACCGUAGUAUCUAUACUGCUACUAUAGCAUUUUAAUGUACGUCAACCAACAUUUAGUUUUACGAGUGUUUUCAUUCCUGUCUGUGUAUAAUUCACGACAUAUUUUAAUUUUUUGUUUGUUGACGCACAAAACAUCA